GCCGAGAUCGCAUAGCCAGGUAUUGCGCAAGAUUGGAAAUCUUGUCCCAUCGGGAUCGUGGGUUCAAAUCCCACUCUCGGCG
This 82-nucleotide transfer RNA is filed under the name Candidatus Woesearchaeota archaeon. Its description in RNAcentral is "tRNA-Ser". It matches the Rfam family "tRNA". From Rfam's summary of the family: Transfer RNA (tRNA) molecules are approximately 80 nucleotides in length. Their secondary structure includes four short double-helical elements and three loops (D, anti-codon, and T loops). Lineage: Archaea; Nanobdellati; Candidatus Woesearchaeota. The record is from RNAcentral.